UGAUAGAGGAGCGGUGCUAUAAGAGUAGCGUGGCGCAACCGGAACAAUGGGUGCUGCGUGAAAGGAUACAUCGCCGAAGUGGAAAAGGGCUUGUUCGCUUGUUUCUGCUGGGCCGUUGCAAAACAUGUAACGGACUGUCACUUUAUAGUGGAGCGCUGUC
This 160-nucleotide non-coding RNA is filed under the name human gut metagenome. RNAcentral describes it as "Lysine riboswitch". It matches the Rfam family "Lysine riboswitch aptamer". From Rfam's summary of the family: Riboswitches are metabolite binding domains within certain messenger RNAs that serve as precision sensors for their corresponding targets. Allosteric rearrangement of mRNA structure is mediated by ligand binding, and this results in modulation of gene expression. The record is from RNAcentral.